GCAAGUUUUUUUAGCAGACUUUCGUUAAAGAAAAGGCAGAUGUCUAACACUGACUAUGAAGAAAAUGACUUGACAGCUGAAGGGAACAUGAACAAUUUGAAUCAGAUUUCUGAUGUGGCUCUUAAAGCAGUGAACUAAAAUACAUUUUCUAACUAAAAUAAAGAUUUUAAUAUCAAAUUUUUUGGAAGGGGGAUAUAGGAAUCACCCUGUUUGCUUGUCCAUCUGUCUAUCUGUCUGUGGACAACACUUGGAUACUACUGCUCUAGCUCUAGUUGACUAACAUAGAUAAUAUCUGAAAUCGAAUGUGUCAUACUUCUUGUUUACUGUGCAUAAAUGUACACUGAAGAACAUUUAUAAUUAUUUCUAGCAAAAUAUCUCUGUAAAAUAUUUGACUGUACACUUCAGAAAACAUUUAGUCUCAGAAUCAGAUACCAGAUAUGCUAUAGUGGUGCCUAGUUGUGUCGCCUGCAUAGCAAGGGGACACUUAGGGAUCACUUCUCCAUCGUCUGUCAGUCUGACCGUCUGUCCAUCAGUCCAUCUGUCUGUCACACUUUGAAAUAAGUCAUCCGCAGGAGACACACAUA
Molecule: long non-coding RNA, 584 nt
Organism: Saccostrea echinata
Lineage: Eukaryota; Metazoa; Mollusca; Bivalvia; Ostreida; Ostreidae
Exons: 3
Source: RefSeq, a predicted model, not a curated record